This 426-nucleotide ribosomal RNA is filed under the name uncultured bacterium. Its description in RNAcentral is "bacterial SSU rRNA". It matches the Rfam family "Bacterial small subunit ribosomal RNA", at positions 356 to 773 of the family's 1533-position model. The record is from RNAcentral.
AGGGAAUAUUGCACAAUGGGCGCAAGCCUGAUGCAGCAACGCCGCGUGAGUGAAGAAGGCCUUCGGGUUGUAAAGCUCUUUCGGCUAGGAAGAAGGGCUAUGUAGCUAAUAUCUGCAUAGUUUGACGGUACUAGAAGAAGAAGCACCGGCUAAUUCCGUGCCAGCAGCCGCGGUAAUACGGAAGGUGCAAGCGUUGUUCGGAAUGACUGGGCGUAAAGCGCGCGUAGGCGGACUUGAAAGUCAGCUGUGAAAUCCCAGGGCUUAACCCUGGAAUUGCAGUUGAAACUCCAAGUCUUGAAUGCCUGAGAGGAUGGCGGAAUUCCGGGUGUAGGAGUGAAAUCCGUAGAGAUCCGGAGGAACACCAGAGGCGAAGGCGGCUAUCUGGCGGUGCAUUGACGCUGAGGCGCGAAAGCGUGGGGAGCAAAC